This 390-nucleotide ribosomal RNA is filed under the name uncultured bacterium. RNAcentral's name for it is "bacterial SSU rRNA". It matches the Rfam family "Bacterial small subunit ribosomal RNA", at positions 28 to 419 of the family's 1533-position model. The record is from RNAcentral.
GACGAACGCUGGCGGCGUGCUUAACACAUGCAAGUCGAGCGGUAAGGCCCUUUCGGGGGUACACGAGCGGCGAACGGGUGAGUAACACGUGGGUGACCUGCCUUUAGCUCUGGGAUAAGCCUGGGAAACCGGGUCUAAUACCGGAUAUGACUCCGCGGCGCAUGUUGUGGGGUGGAAAGCCUUGUGCGGCUGGAGAUGGGCCCGCGGCCUAUCAGCUUGUUGGUGGGGUGAUGGCCUACCAAGGCGACGACGGGUAGCCGGCCUGAGAGGGCGACCGGCCACACUGGGACUGAGACACGGCCCAGACUCCUACGGGAGGCAGCAGUGGGGAAUCUUGCGCAAUGGGCGAAAGCCUGACGCAGCGACGCCGCGUGAGGGAUGACGGCCUGG